UACGUAGGGGGCAAGCGUUGUCCGGAAUCAUUGGGCGUAAAGAGCGUGUAGGCGGCCCGAUAAGUCCGCCGUGAAAGUCCAGGGCUCAACCCUGGAAUGCCGGUGGAAACUGUCGGGCUGGAGUCCGGAAGAGGCGAGUGGAAUUCCUGGUGUAGCGGUGGAAUGCGUAGAUAUCGGGAGGAACACCAGUGGCGAAGGCGGUUGCCUGGAGCUUUGCUGACGCUGAGGCGCGAAAGCGUGGGGAGCGAUCCGG
Molecule: ribosomal RNA, 253 nt
Filed under: uncultured bacterium
Lineage: Bacteria
Description: partial 16S ribosomal RNA
Rfam family: Bacterial small subunit ribosomal RNA
Source: RNAcentral